This 232-nucleotide unclassified non-coding RNA is filed under the name uncultured Sphaerobolus. Its description in RNAcentral is "sequence contains ITS2". Lineage: Eukaryota; Fungi; Basidiomycota; Agaricomycetes; Geastrales; Sphaerobolaceae. The record is from RNAcentral.
AUACUCUCAAGCUUGACCUUUUUUCAUUAAGGAGGUCAUAGUUUGGAUUUGGAUGUUGCUGCGGUUGAACUAUCGCAGCUCGUCUCGAAAUGUAUUAGCUGGUCCACCGCGGUCUAUUAUAAAACUCUAUGGUGUGAUAAGAACACAAAUUCUUUGUAGCGCUAUGGUGAAUAGACUUGCUGGGAUGUGACUGCUUCUAAUAGUCCAUUGACUUGGACAAUAUCACUUUGUU